GGGGUUAUAGCUCAGUUGGUAGAGCGUCUGCUUUGCAUGCAGAAGGUCUAGUUCGAUUCCCUAUGACUCCA
This 71-nucleotide transfer RNA is filed under the name Naegleria gruberi. Its description in RNAcentral is "tRNA-Ala (TGC) (tRNA-Ala-TGC-2-1)". It matches the Rfam family "tRNA". From Rfam's summary of the family: Transfer RNA (tRNA) molecules are approximately 80 nucleotides in length. Lineage: Eukaryota; Heterolobosea; Eutetramitea; Acrasida; Naegleriidae. The record is from Rfam by way of RNAcentral.